RNAcentral lists this non-coding RNA (136 nucleotides) under Cellulomonas carbonis T26. RNAcentral's name for it is "Cellulomonas sp. T26 FMN riboswitch aptamer (RFN element)". It matches the Rfam family "FMN riboswitch aptamer (RFN element)". Rfam says of the family: The RFN element is a highly conserved domain that is found frequently in the 5'-untranslated regions of prokaryotic mRNAs that encode for flavin mononucleotide (FMN) biosynthesis and transport proteins. This element is a metabolite-dependent riboswitch that directly binds FMN in the absence of proteins. In Bacillus subtilis, the riboswitch most likely controls gene expression by causing premature transcription termination within the 5' untranslated region of the ribDEAHT operon and precluding access to the ribosome-binding site of ypaA mRNA. RNAcentral also lists the same sequence under 1 other name. Lineage: Bacteria; Bacillati; Actinomycetota; Actinomycetes; Micrococcales; Cellulomonadaceae. The record is from Rfam by way of RNAcentral.
GUACGUGCUCCGGGGUCGGUGCAAUUCCGAACCGGCGGUGACAGUCCGCGACCCGGCCCGGCCCUGACGGCGGGACGGUUGACCUGGUGGAACUCCGGGACCGACGGUGAAAGUCCGGAUGGGAGGCAGCACGUGG